This 427-nucleotide ribosomal RNA is filed under the name uncultured bacterium. RNAcentral's name for it is "partial 16S ribosomal RNA". It matches the Rfam family "Bacterial small subunit ribosomal RNA", at positions 355 to 774 of the family's 1533-position model. The record is from RNAcentral.
UGGGGAAUAUUGGACAAUGGGCGAAAGCCUGAUCCAGCCAUGCCGCGUGUGUGAAGAAGGUCUUCGGAUUGUAAAGCACUUUAAGUUGGGAGGAAGGGCAGUAAGUUAAUACCUUGCUGUUUUGACGUUACCGACAGAAUAAGCACCGGCUAACUCUGUGCCAGCAGCCGCGGUAAUACAGAGGGUGCAAGCGUUAAUCGGAAUUACUGGGCGUAAAGCGCGCGUAGGUGGUUUGUUAAGUUGGAUGUGAAAGCCCCGGGCUCAACCUGGGAACUGCAUCCAAAACUGGCAAGCUAGAGUACGGUAGAGGGUGGUGGAAUUUCCUGUGUAGCGGUGAAAUGCGUAGAUAUAGGAAGGAACACCAGUGGCGAAGGCGACCACCUGGACUGAUACUGACGCUGAGGUGCGAAAGCGUGGGGAGCAAACA